UACACCUUAUAAACCUCAUACCUCAACUUUUUCCUUAUAUUUGUUUUAAUUUUUUUUUAUUGCAGUGCCUAUUGUACAUGUUAUAUUCGCAUUUUACUCGUAACUUAUUUUCUUAUCGUAAUGCUCCCUUGCGAGCCGUACGUACCUAUACUCAAAAAUAAAAUUCCACAUAUUAUUAUAACAAAAUAGCGUACGAAAUGUCCGUUAUUAUUUUGCCUACGGUAUUUAUUGAUUAUUAUUUUGAUCGUGUUAUACUCGACUGAAUACUUAAAAUCCGUUUAGCUGUGUACAAUAGCCUACACUCUAUAUCAUGUUGAGUAGCUGUAUUGAUUUUAGUGCCCGGGCGCGCUAUAGUCGAGUCUCAGUUUCCGUGAAACGUACUAUAGUUUGAAGUUUCACACUCGUGCGGUAUUGAUUAAUUUAUGUACCUAUAGUCUACAGAUGGGCGAUGGCGAAUGCCGGAUGCCCAAUUAAAUAUUAAUACAUUUCUCAAUUUCUAAUAUAUUUAUUUGUUGUUAUUGUUAACUUUUGCACCGGUUUGUUUGUGCGAUUUUUUAUUUCAAUUAUGAACAAUUCAAAAAGUGUUUCAUACCGCAAAUGUGGUGUGAAAUACUGUAAGAAUAGAAAUUCGCUUCAUUCAGCUAAAUAUGUAAUUAGUCACUUCACGUUACCGAAGGACUCUGAAAGACGUGCGAUGUGGAUUGAGAAUUGUGUCCCCGAACUGGCUGACAAAAACGUUGUCGUUAAAGAUUAUUUUGAAGACAAAAAUAUGGUCCUGAAUGUUAAUCGUAGAAACAGGUUAACAAAUAAUGCUGUCCCUAUCCUCUUUAACGACGUGCGAUGUGGAUUGAGAAUGGUGUCCCCGAAGUGGCUGACAAAAACGUUGUUGUUAAAGAUUAUUUUGAAGACAAAAAUAUGGUCCUGAAUGUUAAUCGUAGAAACAGGUUAACGGAUAAUGCUGUCCCUACCCUCUUUAACGGUAUGAGAUGAUUUCUUGACGAAUUCGCUAUCCAGGACAGGUCGUCAGUCCGUCGCCGGAGAGAGGGUAGCCUGCCCGUUACCGAGUGUCGAACCAGGGCAGUCAGCGAUAACAUGACCUCCUUACCCACUCGGCCACUCCACCUCCAGAAAUCGUCUAGGAGAAUGAAAUGUUUUAUUUCUAAUCAAAUGGUAUGUGAUUUUUUCGGUGGAAGUAUAUUGUCAAAAUUAUGAUCGACGCCACUUGUAUCUACAUGGAUACACCAAAAUUCAAAUGUUUUGCAAAUUACAGCUAGUAUUAAAAGGUUGUCUCAGUAUAAAUGUGUUUCACGUAGUCUGCAGAAUAUAUAAAAACCCAUGUACCUUAGUUUAAAAAGAAGUUAUUUAUUUAAUUACCCGGAGAAAGACAUUUUUUAAUUUCUCAUUUUAAAUUAUUAUAUUAUUCUGUCAUUAUAUUUGUAAUAAAUACAAAUAAUACAUUUUAUUAUAGUGCUUAUUAAAUAAUUUGUUAAAUACCUACUAACAAGCAGACGGCAGCUGUAUUUAGACAAUUCACACUAGACUAUAGUGUACAAUGGUCAAUGAAGAAAUAAAUCAGGUUUUCUUUUAUAAACAUCAAUCGGCAGAAGAAAAAAAAUACACAUAUAUUAAACUGUUAUUUUACAUUUUUGUUUGUUUUUGCUAUGGAUUACUUUCUGGCGAACAUAUUAGACGGAUUUCAAUUUGUUUUUCAUGUGAAGCUUACUAAUUACUCUACGGCACCCAAAGCCCGAUAUUAUUUUAGAUAUUAGAAAAUUAGUUUCUUAGAAGAAACUAGUAGAAGUAAAGUAUAAACGCUUUUGAUACAAUUUUAUUCACAAAAAUAAAAAAUUGGACUUUAAGCUCCCGUAGAGAAAAUAUUAAGUUUAAAACAAAAUAAACAAAGUUUUGAAAUCAUUACGGUAAAAACUUAAAAAAGUGACUUCGCGUUUGAGUGUAAUUGUAUAAAAUUUUGCGCUUUUCUUGCCGCUUCAUAAAUAGAGUUAUUAGAAUUAUUUCUUAGGUUAUAAAAAUGUUAAUCAGUGUUGAAAGUACUUAGAGUUGAGCCAAAGUUAAGGAUCUAAAGUUGUAUAGUCAUCUUAUUUUAAUAGACUGAUAUCAUUUGGGGAAGGGGUAAGUAAGGGGGAUGCGGGGUAUUAUGUGGAUAGACAGGAUUUAAAAGAAAAAUAAUAUUAAAAUGAUAAACCCUUAGAUGUUAACGACUUACGAGUUUGACAUCUCGUCCGUAUACCACACUUAGUAUUUUACAGGUACGAUACAGAUACCAUUUAUAACUGUUAUUAUAAAUGAUGUCAAUUACUAUUUAUCUUAAUUUUUUAUGAAAUGUUUACUUGAAUCUUAAUGUAAAUCGACCACACAACACUAUCAUCCCAAUAAUAAGAUGACAGUGCUGUACUAAUGAAAUCUCAAUAAUAUUAGUGUGUAUGUAUGUAUGUGAAGUAGACUGUAGUAUGUAGUAUCCAUAUUGAUAUGAAAUUUAAAAAAUAUAUAUAUUUCUGAGAUGUCAAAACCACAGCUUAUGUAUAUUACACGCAUUGUGUGUUUGUCUCCGGCGACGGAUAGCGAACAUGUCAAGAAACCAUCUCAUGAUGGCAGCUUUGGGCCCCUUCAUAAUCUGUUAAGGUACAAGAUGAUGAUACACCUAAUAGUCAUCUAAUAGUCUGCUGUCUAUGGUAACACAUAUUCCAUUAAGAGUUAGAACAUGAAGACAUAACGCAUAAUAUGCAUAUUUAUAUAAUUACCGCUGUUCAUUUGACGCUCUUUAGUUUGCCUGGUGGUGACAGUUUAACACUUCCAUAUUAUCGUCUCAAUAUUGUAGUGGAUUAAGUUUUAAAUACUAAUACAAUCAAUAAAAGUUAAGUGAUUAGGCAAAUUAAAAAAAAAGGAAAA
RNA transcript from Adelges cooleyi (spruce gall adelgid), 2907 nucleotides. RefSeq lists it as uncharacterized. NCBI's taxonomy places the organism in Eukaryota, Metazoa, Arthropoda, Insecta, Hemiptera, Adelgidae. The transcript has 4 exons. The record is from RefSeq and is a predicted model, not a curated record.